UAAUGCUUUUAAGUUUGUCGA
This 21-nucleotide non-coding RNA is filed under the name Caenorhabditis elegans. The record is from RNAcentral. Lineage: Eukaryota; Metazoa; Nematoda; Chromadorea; Rhabditida; Rhabditidae.